This 85-nucleotide transfer RNA is filed under the name Bacteroidia bacterium. RNAcentral's name for it is "tRNA-Leu". It matches the Rfam family "tRNA". Rfam says of the family: Transfer RNA (tRNA) molecules are approximately 80 nucleotides in length. Lineage: Bacteria; Pseudomonadati; Bacteroidota; Bacteroidia. The record is from RNAcentral.
GCCCGGAUGGCGAAAUUGGUAGACGCGCUAGUUUCAGGGACUAGUGUCAGUAAUGAUGUGCAAGUUCGAGUCUUGUUCCGGGCAC